AUUCAAAAAGUGCGGGGCUAACUUCACACACGUAACGAAACGUCCGUUUCUCGAGGAAUCGUCAGUAAAUUAAUUCCAGAUAAACAAUUGUCAAGCCUCCGCUACAAUGACUUUCAGUCGUAUUUACAAUAUGGUCGUACAGUUGUAUCGACGAUCGCUUGCGAUUAUUUUCGAUAUCCUUAUCAAUGCGGUUGUAAUAACAGAUAUAACGAUUAAUCAUAAUCGGCGUGUUCUACGGGGGAGCGAGAGACAAGCGUAGCGCCGGGCCCGUAGGCGUGGCAGGACGGCCCUGCGCCAACAGGAUCGCGAUCCGGAUUCAUCGAAAUUAUUCCGGUUUCGAUCCUGCGUUAGAGAGAGAGUGCCACUUGCAGCGAAGAAAAGCUCACGGCGAGCGUGUCAAGCGCGGCUGAUCGACAUUGGAGCGAUCGUACUUCGUACUUGAUCGACGAUCAACACUACAUCGAUUCAUUCUGCUCGAAGCUAGCCAACGGGGCGUACGUACGUACAACCGCUCUCAUCCCAGCUGCAACGCGUACAGCGCAACGAGUUUCACUCCGGAUCGAUUCUUGGACACGUAGCCGUGCAUCGGUGCACCUCGUACACCAUACGGUGGCUCGUACGACGUCGCGAGCAACGACGUAACCUACAAAAGACGCAAAA
Ooceraea biroi (clonal raider ant) is the source of this 660-nucleotide long non-coding RNA. RefSeq lists it as uncharacterized. Lineage: Eukaryota; Metazoa; Arthropoda; Insecta; Hymenoptera; Formicidae. The record is from RefSeq and is a predicted model, not a curated record.